GUUCAUUCUUGUGACACUUCACACAAGACCCCAGGAGCUGUGUGGCCUCCUUCCUGAAAGACCUGGAAAUGGGAUAAGGGUGGGGACAGUUUCAGAGGUGAAACCUACAGGAUCUGUCCCAUCCUCCCAGCCCAGGAAAUAGCUGCAGGGCCCCCUAUGGGGCCAUCCAUCUGUGUGCAGCAGGACAGGAAGGCGGCUGGCUGCUGAUGGUGUCUGGGGCGCAUGACAAACAGCCCAGUCUAGACAGAUGGAGAGCGAGGGGCUUCUGCCCCGGCACCCACUGCUGAGCCCAAAGACAACCAGGUCGAAUUCUGUACCUGGAGAAGCUACAGCCACAUGGAAGGACAAGGUUGCCCUGGGCUGGUCUGGGUCCAGGCAGCCGCAAAAGCUGGACUACAGCCCAGAUGGAGCUUCGCUCCGGUCCUGCCCGCUCUUCUCGGGCUGAGUGACCUCCAGCGUGUCACCUGACUGCUCUGAGCCCAGGUCUGUGAGAGACAUCAGGGCAAGGUCUCCUUGCCCGGAUGGCAGGGAUCCAGGUCUCCACAGAGGGCGGCCCGCCCAAACCUUCAAGGCCAAAUGAAUCACCUGGCCCACCUCUGCAGACCUCCAGUGUCUGUGUCUCCCUAGAAGAUGAGCUCCAUGAGGGCACAGAGCCAGCAGCUGACUUGCUGCUGUCUCCCUGGGACUGGCAGGUAAAGCGGCUUGAUGAGUUGUUGUCAAAUGGAUGGACAAGUGGAUGGAUGGCUAAGUGGAU
RNAcentral lists this long non-coding RNA (754 nucleotides) under Homo sapiens (human). Lineage: Eukaryota; Metazoa; Chordata; Mammalia; Primates; Hominidae. The record is from RNAcentral.